This 492-nucleotide ribosomal RNA is filed under the name uncultured bacterium. RNAcentral describes it as "partial 16S ribosomal RNA". It matches the Rfam family "Bacterial small subunit ribosomal RNA", at positions 29 to 507 of the family's 1533-position model. The record is from RNAcentral.
AGUGAACGCUGGCGGUAGGCCUAACACAUGCAAGUCGAACGGCAGCACAGUAAGAGCUUGCUCUUACGGGUGGCGAGUGGCGGACGGGUGAGGAAUACAUCGGAAUCUACUUUUUCGUGGGGGAUAACGUAGGGAAACUUACGCUAAUACCGCAUACGACCUACGGGUGAAAGCAGGGGAUCUUCGGACCUUGCGCGAUUGAAUGAGCCGAUGUCGGAUUAGCUAGUUGGCGGGGUAAAGGCCCACCAAGGCGACGAUCCGUAGCUGGUCUGAGAGGAUGAUCAGCCACACUGGAACUGGGACACGGUCCAGACUCCUACGGGAGGAAGCAGUGGGGAAUAUUGGACAAUGGGCGCAAGCCUGAUCCAGCCAUACCGCGUGGGUGAAGAAGGCCUUCGGGUUGUAAAGCCCUUUUGUUGGGAAAGAAAAGCAGCAGGUUAAUACCCCGCUGUUCUGACGGUACCCAAAGAAUAAGCACCGGCUAACUUCGUG